CUAAUCUUGUUCCUGCUCUUCCUUUUCGAUUUUCAAGUUAGAAUCCAGGUUAUUUCCGAUUAGAGUAGGUAUAAUUUUGUGAUUUCGUAGGUAUACUAUAUGUUUCGCGUGGUCUGUUCUCUUUGAUUCAGGAUGUCCGAAGAGGUCAUUACUGUGACUGACGAUUUGCCUCAUCAGUACAUGUCUAUCCCUUAAGCCAAGUCCGUCUGAGAUUUUCUGGCGAUGCGCCUGUGAUGGCCGAAUCAGUCGCUGAUGGGUCAGAUUUUCUGGCGGUUCGCCUGUGAUGGCGAUUCGCCUGUACAUGUCUAUCCCUUAAGCCAAGUUGCGUAGGAUGUUGUGUCAUCCGAAGAGGUAGUUCCUGUGGUGGACGAUUUGCCUCCCAAGUAGAUGUCUAUCCCUGAUCCAAGUUCGUCUGAGAUUUUCUGGCGACCUACUUGUGACGCUUGAAUCAGUUGAUGCGCCAGAUCCGUCAGUUUAUGGUGUAUCCGUGCACGCCGGCGGUUCAUCUUCAUCGUCUGCUCGAAGAAGGCUCCUAGGUGCUUGCUGCUGUCCACAAGAUGCCCGAGGUCAUCCAAUUUAUGGUUCAUGUUCGUGGUUCCUUUUGCUGACCAGAUGAUGCUUUGCCCGUCUCCAAACAUCACAGAAAGGUAAUUGUGUUGGCAAGCUGAUUGACGCGCAUGUGUGUACGUGCGUGCCUAUUGUAUUAUUACCUGUUGUAUUACAUUGGUAGCAUAGGACGGCCUUUGCCAUGUCGGGUGCGCUCGCUUGGCAGGCCACGAGACAAUAAAAGGAAUAUUUUGCUGGUGUCCGCGGGGUGGAGAUCGCACGGGAACUAUCAAUUUGUUCUAUUUUGCCCGGGUUCUCCACCCUGCCAUGGUGUCUCUGUCCUUCUCCUUUCAUGUGUUGUUGAUUCUGCGAUAUCCUCGUGGUACACCACGAUCCUACAUAGUAACAAAUAUAUCGAUAGGCCUGGGUGCCGCGAUAACUACGUACUGAAGAUCAAUGAUAACUGAAUUCUGAAGAUCAGUGACAACUACAAAACCAAGGUACAUCUAGCUGCUUCUAGCUGCUUCUAUCUAGCUGCUUCGUUAUAUCAAUUUAAAUUUGCAUGUGAACGUCACCCCGACGCAAAACAUAACCAUACUGAACAACCGCAUUUUGGUUUGAUAUACAAGAUCGUUCAUACCUGUAAAUCUUGUGCUCUUGCACCGCGCCAGCACGAUAGUACUGAAAUACCCAUGAGGUAUCAUUAGCAUUCUUUUUCAAUGCAAUGUCUUCUGUUAGAAAAAAAGCGUUGUUAACUUUUUGCAGCACAAGCUUUUCCAGAAUUUUUGGUCACUUUGCAUAUUUUCGUCGAUGGUCGUCCAGUUGAAGAAGGCGCUCUCUGGUGCUUGCUGCUGCCCACAAGGCCCGGGAUGGAACUGGUCAUCUGAUUUAUACUUCAUGUUUGCUGAUCAAAUCGAGAUGACGUUCGUGGUUCCUUUUGCUGGCAAGAUGAUGCUUGCUUGUCCCCAAACAUCACAUAAAGGUAAUUGUGUUGGUAAGCUGAUUAAUGCGCAUGUGUGUACGUGCGUGUUGUAUUUGCAUUACUUGUUGUACUACAUUGGUAGGGUAGGGCGGCCUUUGCCAUGUCGGGUGCGCUCGCUGGCAGGCCAUGAGACAAUAAAAAGUAUAUUAUGUUGGUUUGCGGGGUGGAGAUCGCACGGGAACUAUCAAUUUGUUCUAUUUUGCCCGGGUUCUCCACCCUGCCAUGGUGUCUUUGUCCUUCACAUGUGUUGUUGAUUCCCCAAGAUCAUCUUAAAUUGCACCACAAUCCUACAUAAACAGGCCUGGGUGCGGCGAUAACUACCUACUGAAGAGCAAUGAUAACUACAAACGAAGGUACAUCUCACUGCUUCUAUCGAGCAAAGCACUUCGCUAUAUCAAUUUAAAUUUGCAUAUGCACGUCAUCCCAACUCAAAGCGUACAUGGUGGUUUACCCUUCGUCAAUGAACAACCAUAUUUUGGCUUGAUACGAGAUCUAUCAUGCAUGUAAAUAUUGUACUCUUGCACCCCAACAAUACUGAAAUGCCCACGAGAGAUCAUCAGCAUUCUUGUUCAAUGUUACAAUGUCUUCUUUUAGAAAAAAGCCAUUGUUAACUUUUUGCAGCACAGGCUUUUCCGAGAAGUUUUGGUUACUCUGCAUAUUUUCUGUUGUACAAUGUUAUGAGCUUUGUACCUUUGGUCGUAAUUCAACUAUUUCCUGUUAAUUCUCAUCCUGUGUGCAUAGGUGAGUUCAUUUGUUCUACUACCUGGUGUACAUAUUUAUUAUAUAUCAGUUCUGUAAAUACCAUUGAAGGGCUUGUUUUCUCGUGUGUAUACUUGUCAGUCUUCCAAAUUUGAUGCCUUGUUAAUGGCCGUCAGGACUCGAGCUUGUCCAGAUGUUCUUCAUCAUACUUCCUCUCGGUGAUCAGCUGGAUUCCAGUUGAGGUUUACUGGAUGUAUAGCUUGUCAUAUCAGAAACAAUAAUGAUUAUGGGUGCCUUUUUUGAUCAGCAAUGUCUAUUCGGGAACAGUUGGUUUCACA
Triticum dicoccoides is the source of this 2565-nucleotide long non-coding RNA. RefSeq lists it as uncharacterized. Lineage: Eukaryota; Viridiplantae; Streptophyta; Magnoliopsida; Poales; Poaceae. The record is from RefSeq and is a predicted model, not a curated record. The transcript has 2 exons.